UGUCUCAUCUGAUAGUCUACUAUGACUACUGGUUGCUUCUCAAAGGUCAAAUUUUCAUUUAACUCUACUGUGUCUGGUUGCAGCAUAUGAGAAGGAUCCAGAACAUACUUCCUACGUAUAGAAAUGUGGAAUACUAAGUGGACAUGAGAAAAGUUUGGUGGCAACUCUAACCGAUAAGCAACUGCUCUUACUCUGUCUGUGAUCUCACAAGAUCCUAUAUAACGGGGUGUCAAUUUGUCUUUCUUUUCAAAUCUUAUAACUCCUUUCAUAGGAGAGACCUUUAAGAACACAUAAUUACCCACUUUCACUCAGGAAUAGGAAUCUCUUGCAACUUUUCUGAUGGCAUCUGAUGUUCAAACUUUACCUUCUGAUAAGUUAAGCACUUGGAUACAAAAUCCGCUAUGUCUCCCUUCAUGCCAUUUCACCAGUACCAUGGUACAUCUUGGUGGAGCCUG
This 455-nucleotide unclassified non-coding RNA is filed under the name Hevea brasiliensis (rubber tree). Lineage: Eukaryota; Viridiplantae; Streptophyta; Magnoliopsida; Malpighiales; Euphorbiaceae. The record is from RNAcentral.